GUGUCAGCAGCCGCGGUAAUACGUAGGUGGCAAGCGUUACUCGGAAUUAUUGGGUGUAAAGGGCAAGUAGGCGGUCUAAUAAGUGAGGGGUGAAAUCUUCCGGCUCAAUCGGAAAAUUGCCUUUCAAACUAUUAGACUUGAGGAUGGAAGAGGGAAAUGGAAUUAGCAGUGUAAGGGUGAAAUCUGUAGAUAUUGCUAAGAACACCAGCGGCGAAGGCGGUUUCCUGGUCCAUAUCUGACGCUGAAUUGCGAAAGCUAGGGGAGCAAACAGAAUUGGAUACUCUGGUAGUCCUAGCCGUAAACGAUGAGCACUAGGUGUUGUCCCUUCGGGGUCAGUGCCGCAGCUAACGCAUUAAGUGCUCCACCUGGGGACUACGGCCGCAAGGCUAAAACUCAAAGGAAUUGACGGGGACCCGCACAAGCGGUGGAACAUGUGGUUUAAUUCGAUGCUACGCGAAGAACCUCACCUAGGCUUGACAUGCUCGUCGUAUCUCUGUGAAAGCAGAGAGUCAGCUCGGCUGGACGAUGCACAGGUGCUGCAUGGCUGUCGUCAGCUCGUGUCGUGAGAUGUUGGGUUAAGUCCCGCAACGAGCGCAACCAUUGCCCCAUGUUGCUACUACACGUUUGAUCUUCGGAUCUGUUGUGUAAGCACUCUUGGGGGACUGCCUGGGAUAACCAGGAGGAAGGUGGAGAUGACGUCAAGUCAGUACGGCCCUUAUGCCUAGGGCUACACACGUGUUACAAUGGACGGUACAAAGGGUUGCCAACCCGCGAGGGGGAGCUAAUCUCAAAAAGCCGUCCCCAGUUCGGAUAGCAGUCUGCAAUUCGACUGCUUGAAGCCGGAAUCGCUAGUAAUGGGAGAUCAGCUCGCUCCCGUGAAUACGUUCCCGGGUCUUGCACACACCGCCCGUC
This 912-nucleotide ribosomal RNA is filed under the name uncultured bacterium. RNAcentral describes it as "bacterial SSU rRNA". It matches the Rfam family "Bacterial small subunit ribosomal RNA", at positions 505 to 1398 of the family's 1533-position model. The record is from RNAcentral.